RNAcentral lists this ribosomal RNA (445 nucleotides) under Priestia megaterium. Its description in RNAcentral is "bacterial SSU rRNA". It matches the Rfam family "Bacterial small subunit ribosomal RNA", at positions 46 to 482 of the family's 1533-position model. The record is from RNAcentral. Lineage: Bacteria; Bacillati; Bacillota; Bacilli; Caryophanales; Bacillaceae.
GCCUAAUACAUGCAAGUCGAGCGAACUGAUUAGAAGCUUGCUUCUAUGACGUUAGCGGCGGACGGGUGAGUAACACGUGGGCAACCUGCCUGUAAGACUGGGAUAACUUCGGGAAACCGAAGCUAAUACCGGAUAGGAUCUUCUCCUUCAUGGGAGAUGAUUGAAAGAUGGUUUCGGCUAUCACUUACAGAUGGGCCCGCGGUGCAUUAGCUAGUUGGUGAGGUAACGGCUCACCAAGGCAACGAUGCAUAGCCGACCUGAGAGGGUGAUCGGCCACACUGGGACUGAGACACGGCCCAGACUCCUACGGGAGGCAGCAGUAGGGAAUCUUCCGCAAUGGACGAAAGUCUGACGGAGCAACGCCGCGUGAGUGAUGAAGGCUUUCGGGUCGUAAAACUCUGUUGUUAGGGAAGAACAAGUACGAGAGUAACUGCUCCCCCCUUGA